Molecule: long non-coding RNA, 291 nt
Organism: Diorhabda carinulata
Lineage: Eukaryota; Metazoa; Arthropoda; Insecta; Coleoptera; Chrysomelidae
Exons: 2
Source: RefSeq, a predicted model, not a curated record
UGUUUCGAACUCGUCACCAUAUAAUCCGUCAACUAGUAAAGCAACUGAUGUACAGAGCAACAUCAGAGCUGUAGUGGAAAGUAAUGGAGCAAACACUCAAGAUGAUGUAAUCACUUUAUUGAAGACCAUUAGAGAACAGAACAAUCAAAUUUUGCAGUGGAUCCGAAAACAAGAUCGCAGUGGCAAUCACGCCAGUAAUACAGAUUUACCAGAUGAUAUAGGCGUACAGUUUCCUUUGAAUUCUCAAGAGGAUAUUACCAAAUUGGAAACAUACCUGAGUGAAAAAAAUAA